This 944-nucleotide ribosomal RNA is filed under the name uncultured SAR86 cluster bacterium. RNAcentral describes it as "bacterial SSU rRNA". It matches the Rfam family "Bacterial small subunit ribosomal RNA", at positions 394 to 1332 of the family's 1533-position model. The record is from RNAcentral. Lineage: Bacteria; Pseudomonadati; Pseudomonadota; Gammaproteobacteria.
AUACCGCGUGUGUGAAGAAGGCCUUCGGGUUGUAAAGCACUUUAAGCAGGGAGAAAAAGUUAUAAGUUAAUACCUUAUGACCCUGAUGUUACCUGCAGAAUAAGCACCGGCUAAUUCCGUGCCAGCAGCCGCGGUAAUACGGAAGGUGCAAGCGUUAAUCGGAAUUACUGGGCGUAAAGCGCGCGUAGGUGGUUUGUUAAGUUGGAUGUGAAAGCCCUGGGCUCAACCUAGGAACUGCAUCCAAAACUAACUCACUAGAGUACGAUAGAGGGAGGUAGAAUUCAUAGUGUAGCGGUGGAAUGCGUAGAUAUUAUGAAGAAUACCAGUGGCGAAGGCGGCCUCCUGGAUCUGUACUGACACUGAGGUGCGAAAGCGUGGGUAGCGAACAGGAUUAGAUACCCUGGUAGUCCACGCCGUAAACGAUGACAACUAGCUGUUGGGAGACUAUGUCUUUCAGUGGCGCAGCUAACGCUUUAAGUUGUCCGCCUGGGGAGUACGGCCGCAAGGCUAAAACUCAAAUGAAUUGACGGGGACCCGCACAAGCGGUGGAGCAUGUGGUUUAAUUCGAUGCAACGCGAAAAACCUUACCUACUCUUGACAUACUUGGAGGCUCUUGUAAUGAGAGCGUGCCUUUUGGAACCAAGAUACAGGUGCUGCAUGGCUGUCGUCAGCUCGUGUCGUGAGAUGUUCCGUUAAGUCGGAUAACGAGCGCAACCCUUACCCUUAUUUGCCAGCGAUUCGGUCGGGAACUAUAAGGGGACUGCCGGUGAUAAACCGGAGGAAGGUGAGGACGACGUCAAGUCAUCAUGGCCCUUACGAGUAGGGCUACACACGUGCUACAAUGGAGAAUACAGACGGACGCUAAGCCGCGAGGUGGUGCUAAUCCUAGAAAGUUCUUCGUAGUCCGGAUUGGAGUCUGCAACUCGACUCCAUGAAGUCGGAAU